AAGUCGUAACAAGGUUUCCGUAGGUGAACCUGCGGAAGGAUCAUUAACACGUUUUUUCCAACGUUUUUGACCCAUCUCAUUUUCUGUGCACAAUUCAUGCGUCCGGCCUCCCAGCCGCCCGUCGUGUUUACACGGCGUGGCCUGUUGGGCGUCUUUGGGAUCAAAGGAGUGAAGAGCGUGUCUUAUGACUUUUCAAGUUGUAUUCAAGUUCUUUUCGCCUCCCUCUGGCGUUGCCACCUCACCCAAACCCUUUAAUCUAAUCUAUCUGAACUUUUAGUUGAAGUUGAUCCUUCGGGAGAGACGACAACGACACAAAACAAACAACAACUCUUAACAACGGAUAUCUUGGUUCUC
This 354-nucleotide unclassified non-coding RNA is filed under the name fungal sp. Its description in RNAcentral is "partial internal transcribed spacer region". The stretch from base 1 to 46 matches the Rfam family "Eukaryotic small subunit ribosomal RNA", at positions 1786 to 1831 of the family's 1831-position model. The record is from RNAcentral. Lineage: Eukaryota; Fungi.